UCUGGGCCUGGUGUUUACCGCUGAUGCUUGCGGUCAUGGUGGCUGAGGAGCAGCAAGGGGAACGCUGCUCGGCCGAGUGCGGCAGCGUCUCCGACCCAUUCUGGCUCAGUGAUUGGCAAACGGGAAGAUUAUGUGGUUCGCCUGGGCCGCCGGACUUCGAGCUUACAUGCUAUAACGGCAGUUAUCCACUUCUUCCGAGCUCUGUGCCCGGUAGCCCCGGCUUUGCAAUCAUUGACAUCUCCUAAGGAGAACGCUUCUUGCGCGUCGUUGAUCUAUGCAAGCUGCAACUAUUACAUGACCCGCCCAACAUCUUCAACAGCUGCUUGCCGAUCUGGAACACCUCUGCUAAACUGGGCCGCCCCUUUAAGAUCUCCCCCGUCAACCUGGAACUCAUCUUCUACAACUGCACGGAGAAGGCCGCAGCGGCGGCACACCGGGGAAAAGAACUGGUGUAGGCAAAGACGAUGAGGUGCGUCAACGCGAGCAACGCGUUUGUUCGCCCGGGAGUGCUGUACGACCCCACCGGGAACUACAAAGGCUAUGCUUUGGAGGGCUGCGUUCCAAUCGUCUUGCCGGUGAUGGGCUCCCCGGCUGGCGAAACGAACGCGAGCCACUAUGAGCAGCUCCUCAGCGAUGGCUUCCUAUUGACAUGGAAUGAACCUCCUUCCCCUGCACGUAAGUUCACCCCGUCAAUUCAUUUUUUAAUCAAGUUCGGCUAGCCGCAGUGCCUAAUUUGCUGGAUUUCCCUAAUUAAGCCAAGCAAUCAAUCAUAUUGGUACUUAGUGCUCUCAGUAGGUUCAGAACAAACUCUUCUGACAGAUGUGCUAGCAAUCAAUUCCAUGAAUUUUCUAUUUCUAAGUUACCUAUUUAAGAAGUUACUUUUUUCUACCCUGGCCAAGUUCCACAACGCAGUGGCUAACGCCUAACGUUAGAAUAAAAAAAGACGUGAUUUGUACAUAUAGAAAUGUGCAAGUGUAUAUUAGAGAGUAUUUUUGGUGUGUGUUAGUUACUGGUUUUUUUUCUGUGUUGGAUACCGUUAAUUACAUGCCAAGUAUGAAGGCUGUACUGAGAUUAGAAUCUACUCCUAGCUUUCUAGCAGACAAGAACACAAACUAGCCGGGACCGAAAUAAUUGGGCUAGGCAUCGCGGUUCCAGUCACAUCACGGGCUCACGGAGGUCAUUGUCAUGGCUUACCCCGUCAAAGCUGUUAUAUUAGAAGCCAUGGCUUACCGUCCAGACUCAGAUCAAUUGGGGAUUUUCGUGGAGGAUGAUCGCUUGGUCCAAUUUUUCCAGUCAAAUCUUUCGGCCAAUCGCUUGCCGUCCGCAUAUAUGGUUCAAGCUUCGACCACGCUGUUCUCUUUUACGUGUAGUCUGUGUCCCCAUAGCCCACGACCACCGCACCUAUCGUGUGACCCCCUCCAGUGCUCACUGCAAUCUUCCCUCCUUCUGCCCCGAUGUCUCUGAGCUGCUGGUCCUGGUUCCUCGCCUUCGCCUGGGUUUGGUGUCUGCCACUGAUGCUCAUGGCGGCCGAGGAGCAGCAAGGGGAUGGCUGCUUGGCCAAGUGUGGCAGCGUCACCAUCUCCCCCCCGUUCUGGCUCACUGAUUGGCAAACAGGAAGAUUAUGUGGUUCGCCUGGACCGCUGGACUUCGAGCUUACAUGCUAUAACGGCAGUUAUCCACUUCUUCCAAGCUCUGUGCCCAACAACGCCGGCUUUGCAAUCAUGGACAUAUCCUAUGAGGAACGCAGCUUGCGCGUCGUUGAUCUACGCAAGCUGCAACUAUUACACGACCCGCCCAACAUCUUCAACAGCUGCUUGCCGAUGUGGAACACCUCUGCCAAACUGGGCCGCCCGUUUAAGAUCUCCCCCGUCAACCUGGA
Molecule: long non-coding RNA, 1879 nt
Filed under: Triticum aestivum (bread wheat)
Lineage: Eukaryota; Viridiplantae; Streptophyta; Magnoliopsida; Poales; Poaceae
Description: long non-coding RNA (TAES_LNC025078)
Source: RNAcentral